GGAUGGUUGGCAGAGAGGUAAUGCAGCGGAUUGCUAAUCCGUACAACUAUAUUUAGUUGCGUAGAUUCAAAUCCUACACCAUCCGCCA
RNAcentral lists this transfer RNA (88 nucleotides) under Caudoviricetes sp. Its description in RNAcentral is "tRNA-Ser". It matches the Rfam family "tRNA". From Rfam's summary of the family: Transfer RNA (tRNA) molecules are approximately 80 nucleotides in length. Lineage: Duplodnaviria; Heunggongvirae; Uroviricota; Caudoviricetes. The record is from RNAcentral.